Molecule: ribosomal RNA, 467 nt
Filed under: uncultured bacterium
Lineage: Bacteria
Description: partial 16S ribosomal RNA
Rfam family: Bacterial small subunit ribosomal RNA
Source: RNAcentral
GACGAACGCUGGCGGCGUGCUUAACACAUGCAAGUCGAACGGAAAGGCCCUGCUUUUGUGGGAUGCUCGAGUGGCGAACGGGUGAGUAACCCGUGAGUAACCUGCCCUUGACUUUGGGAUAACUUCAGGAAACUGGGGCUAAUACCGGAUAGGAGCUCCUGCUGCAUGGUGGGGGUUGGAAAGUUUCGGCGGUUGGGGAUGGACUCGCGGCUUAUCAGCUUGUUGGUUGGGUUGUGGCUUACCAAGGCUUUGAAGGGUAGCCAGCCUGAGAGGGUGACCGGCCACAGAGGGACAGAGAUACGGCCCAGACUCAUACGGGAGGCAGGAGUGGGGAAUAGUGCAAAAUGGGCGGAAGCCAGAUGCAGCAACGCCGCGUGCGGGAUGACGGCCUUCGGGUAGUAAACCGCUUUCGCCUGUGACGAAGCGUGAGUGACGGUAAUGGGUAAAGAAGCACCGGCUAACUACGU